GACGAACGCUGGCGGCGUGCUUAACACAUGCAAGUCGAACGGUAAGGCCCUUCGGGGUACACGAGUGGCGAACGGGUGAGUAACACGUGGGUGAUCUGCCCUGCACUUCGGGAUAAGCCUGGGAAACUGGGUCUAAUACCGGAUAGGACCACUGCCUGCAUGGGUGGUGGUGGAAAGCUUUUGCGGUGUGGGAUGGGCCCGCGGCCGAUCAGCUUGUUGGUGGGGUGAUGGCCUACCAAGGCGACGACGGGUAGCCGGCCGGGGGGGGUGACCGGCCACACUGGGACUGGGAUACGGCCCAGACUCCUACGGGAGGCAGCAGUGGGGAAUAUUGCACAAUGGGCGCAAGCCUGAUGCAGCGACGCCGCGUGAGGGAUGACGGCCUUCGGGUUGUAAACCUCUUUCAGCACCGACGAAGCGCAAGUGACGGUAGGUGCAGAAGAAGGACCGGCCAACUACGUGCCAGCCGCCGCAGUAA
RNAcentral lists this ribosomal RNA (478 nucleotides) under uncultured bacterium. RNAcentral's name for it is "partial 16S ribosomal RNA". It matches the Rfam family "Bacterial small subunit ribosomal RNA", at positions 28 to 523 of the family's 1533-position model. The record is from RNAcentral.